This is a non-coding RNA of Paramuricea clavata, 611 nucleotides long. Lineage: Eukaryota; Metazoa; Cnidaria; Anthozoa; Malacalcyonacea; Plexauridae. The record is from the annotation of a GenBank genome assembly.
GGGUGGAACACCAGUGGUACAAUGCGGUGUGGUGCGAUAGUGCAACAGGAAACGACUCCGCUCUUGUUUCCAUGGACGGCCGUCAAGUUUAGCAGCUUUCAGGGAUUUUCCCAAGGGUUGCACGAAGCGUUCUACUUCAGCGUUGCCUUGGGGCCAUUUGGGAGUAGAGAAGAUUGCCUUUAUUCCAAGGGCGGCUAGACAGCGUUGGUAUUCUUCGCCAUUGUAAGGGGAGCCAUUGGCACUUUUGAGAAGGGUAGGAAUGCCAUGAACCGCAAAGAUCUUGUCGAGUUUUGGUAUCACAGUGGAGGCACAUCUACAAUGACAAGAAGGUAUUCUCCAGUGGGUAGAGGAGCAUAGAAGUCGACAUGAACAGUUUGCCAAGGUUCAUCAGGCAUGGUGGUGGGGGUGAUUGGUGCUGGUGGGCCGGGUCGGCCAAGGGCUUGGCAAGUUAAACAACGAUCAAGAGUUGUUUUAACCAUGGCGUCGAUAUUCAGGAACCAGAGUUUUUCGCGAAUUAAUGCUUUGGUUUUAGUUAGACCCAGGUGCUUCUCGUGGGCGAUGUCGAUGCGCGUUGUUGUAACGCUUGGGGGAUGACAAGUCGAUGUCCACAC